This 433-nucleotide ribosomal RNA is filed under the name uncultured bacterium. RNAcentral's name for it is "partial 16S ribosomal RNA". It matches the Rfam family "Bacterial small subunit ribosomal RNA", at positions 29 to 507 of the family's 1533-position model. The record is from RNAcentral.
AACGAACGCUGGCGGCAUGCCUAACACAUGCAAGUCGAACGAGACCUUCGGGUCUAGUGGCGCACGGGUGCGUAACGCGUGGGAACCUGCCCUUAGGUUCGGAAUAACUCACCGAAAGGGGUGCUCAUACCGGUUAAUGUCUUCGGGCCAAAGAUUUCUCGCCUUUGGAUGGGCCCGCGUUGGAUUGGCUAGUUGGUAGGGUAAAAGCCUACCAAGGCGACGAUCCAUAGCUGGUGGGAGAGGAGGCUCAGCCACACUGGGACUGCGACACGGCCCAGACCGCGACGGAAGGGAGGGGAAGGUAAUAUUGUACGAGGGGCGAAGGCCUGAUCCAGCAGUGCCGCGUAAGUGAGGAAGGCCUUAGGGUUGUAAAGCUCUUUUACACGAGAUGAUAAUGACAGUACCGGGAGAAGAAGCUCCGGCUAACUCCGUG